Long non-coding RNA from Lutra lutra (Eurasian river otter), 378 nucleotides. RefSeq lists it as uncharacterized. The transcript is spliced from 3 exons. The record is from RefSeq and is a predicted model, not a curated record. Lineage: Eukaryota; Metazoa; Chordata; Mammalia; Carnivora; Mustelidae.
UGAACUUUAAGGCUUUAAGACUAACAUUAACUCAUCUGGUGGAGACAGAUGGUAUUUACUAUUUUCAAUGAAGAGGCUGUAAAAUGUGAAAACUUAAUACCUCUGGGAUGAGUCAUCAGGAAUGCUGGGUAGUGAAGGCCAUGUUCCAGUACCAGUUUCCCCUCAUGGAAUACACAGAAGGGAAGCUUCCCACUUUAGUUCCCCAGGAGGAGAAAGGCUGAAAUAAGCAACAUUGCAUGUAAGUCACUGUCAAUUUUGGAACUUGCUGAAACCUAAAGCUACUGAUGACCCUUCUCACCACCAGAGGGGCACUUGUUUGAGCCUGAAGCCAUGACAGAAGCAUGGAUGAUUAAGAAGUGGAGUGUAUAGAGUCCUGAC